GAUGGCCUUCUCAUCGGGCCUGAGAGUGCCUACAAUAUCCUCGGCAUCCAACAUCUUGGGGAUGUCCAGGUACUUCUCUGCCACCUCAAAGGCGUUGUUCAGGUUGGUCACGGGGUCAUCCUUUCUGAGUUUGUCGUACUCGAUGAGCUCUGGUCUGUGUCUGUGGAUCAAGGCGUUGAAGGCAAGACCGUCCUUCCAGCUGAUGUGGAAGUUCUGCACGUUGACGUUCUUGUAGGGCGCCGUCUUCCUCUGGCACCACAGCAGCAGCCCCUCCUUGGCCGAGGUCUCUUCCACGGAGAUGUCCUGGAUGGCAAAUCGGAGGAUGAUGGUCCAGAUCAUGCCCAGCGUCAUCUUGGCGUUGCCAUCGACGAUUUCCUCAGCCCCUAUGGACACCAGCUUGACGCCUUUGCUGGCGAUGAAAUCGAGCGCUUUGUUCACGUUGUUGAUUUUGUGCACUCUCAUCUUCCCUCGCUCCGGUUUUGGCAAUCGCUCCCCUGAGAUCACCUCCAGGAGCAGCAUCAGCUUGAGGCCAUCGCGGAAGUCCUCGUCGAUGUUCUCGAUCUGCGUGCCGGCCUUCCGCAGGUGGGAGUUGCACCAGGCUGUGAAGGUCU
RNAcentral lists this long non-coding RNA (611 nucleotides) under Gallus gallus (chicken). Lineage: Eukaryota; Metazoa; Chordata; Aves; Galliformes; Phasianidae. The record is from RNAcentral.